AACGGGUGAGUAACAAGUAGGUGAUCUGCCCAUUAGCGGGGGAUAACUAGUCGAAAGGCUGGCUAAUACCGCAUAAUCGUUCCGGAAUAGAGACCGGAACGGAAAGGCGCAAAUGCGUCGCUGAUGGAUGAGCCUGCUUCCCAUUAGCUAGUUGGUGGGGUAAGAGCCUACCAAGGCAAUGAUGGGUAGCCGUACUGAGAGGUAGAUCGGCCACACCGGGACUGAGAUACGGCCCGGACUCCUACGGGAGGCAGCAGUCUGGAAUCUUCCGCAAUGGGGGCAACCCUGACGGAGCGACGCCGCGUGAGGGAUGGAGUCUUUCGGGAUGUAAACCUCUUUUGACAAAGAAGAAUAGAGCGUGCAGUGGAAAGGCGCGCAGAUGACGGUACUUGUCGAAUAAGCCCUGGCUAACUCCGUGCCAGCAGCCGCGGUAAUACGGAGAGGGCAAGCGUUACUCGGAAUUACUGGGCGUAAAGGGUGCGUAGGCGGCUGUGCAAGUAUGGUGUGAAAUCUCCACGGCUCAACCGGGAGGUUGCAUUGUAGACUGCAUGGCUGGAGGCUGAGAGAGGAUGUCGGAAUUCCUGGUG
RNAcentral lists this ribosomal RNA (587 nucleotides) under uncultured bacterium. Its description in RNAcentral is "bacterial SSU rRNA". It matches the Rfam family "Bacterial small subunit ribosomal RNA", at positions 101 to 675 of the family's 1533-position model. The record is from RNAcentral.